UUUUCUUCAGCCCACCAUUUUUUUUCUAAAGGGACUCGUAACACCACUACUAACCGUGUAUGAAAUAAGCCGCCUCCUUAUACCUUUAAGGAAUAUAAAGGGACGUUACUCCACUACUUACUGACCCUAACUAACCUAAUUUUUAAUAUACACAGUUUCCACAAGAACGCGUUUAACCAGACCUGUUGGUGACCUGCUGUUGUCUGCUCUAUGGUCGGGUUGUUGUUUCUUUGACACAUUCCCCAUUUCCAUUCUCAAUUUUUUAUUCCUAGAAAUGUAAAGGAGAUAAGAUAAAUAUACAUAUCUUCUUUAGCAUCGAUGUUAAAUACACUUUUGAAGCAAGAAAUUAUUUUUCUUAUAAUUUUUAAAGUAUAAAUAUUAUAGAAAUAAAUAAAUGUGCAUCUGAUUUGUUAUUUGUUUAUGAUGGUGCUUACAAUGUAACUCCAUGUUGGCUUCAUCCUAGUGGCCAGUUUUGAUCAACGAAGAAGUAGAAGUAGUCGAAGAGAACACACCACACCGAAAUUCGGAAGAAAAAUUAACAGUCCUAAAAUCUAUCACCAUAGAUUUGAACAAGUAUCAAAAUGUUGAAAUAUAAAGGAUAAAGAAUGAUUUACGAUUUAAAGUUAUAAAAACAGUAAAACAGUAUUUAAAACCGGCUUUUUGAAAUUGCAUGGCGAAAAAAUGGGAGGCUUGCAAACUUGUCAAAUGUUAAAUUAAGUAAAGGUUUUUUGCAUAAAUAUGGUUUAUUUCUUUCUUUGAUGAUUGAUUGGUGAAAAACAACAUUUUCAACUCUAUGGUGCUAUUUGAUGGCGGUUAGUUGUUGAUGGUGGAUAUAGU
Molecule: long non-coding RNA, 837 nt
Filed under: Mytilus galloprovincialis (Mediterranean mussel)
Lineage: Eukaryota; Metazoa; Mollusca; Bivalvia; Mytilida; Mytilidae
Source: RNAcentral